ACCUGGGUGGCUCAGUCGGCUGAGCGCCCGACUUCAGCUCAGGUCGUGAUCUCACAGUUCGUGGGUUCGAGUCCCACGCCGGGCU
This 85-nucleotide transfer RNA is filed under the name Felis catus (domestic cat). It matches the Rfam family "tRNA". Rfam says of the family: Transfer RNA (tRNA) molecules are approximately 80 nucleotides in length. Their secondary structure includes four short double-helical elements and three loops (D, anti-codon, and T loops). Lineage: Eukaryota; Metazoa; Chordata; Mammalia; Carnivora; Felidae. The record is from Rfam by way of RNAcentral.